UCGAGGAGCUCACAGUCU
This 18-nucleotide non-coding RNA is filed under the name Macaca fascicularis (crab-eating macaque). The record is from RNAcentral. RNAcentral also lists the same sequence under 2 other names. Lineage: Eukaryota; Metazoa; Chordata; Mammalia; Primates; Cercopithecidae.